Non-coding RNA from Cinara cedri, 956 nucleotides. The record is from the annotation of a GenBank genome assembly. Lineage: Eukaryota; Metazoa; Arthropoda; Insecta; Hemiptera; Aphididae.
GGAUUUGAACCUCCCAUGGGUUAAAUAGGAUUACAUGUAUAUUGUGUUUACAAUAAUUUUCAGUGUCCGAUCGAGUUCAAUCGUAAGUGCCACUAACAGUUAAAGAAGUUCUAACGAAAUUUACCUCGGGAUAGUUUAGGAAACUAUGUCUAUUCCAAACCUAUUAUAAUCAUUAAAACACUGUCGUUUCAGGUCUACCAUCGCUGCGAAUUUAAGCGUAUUUCAGUAGCUACAGAAAUAUGAAAAGAUUUAAUCGAGGAAAAACGCCGCCGUCGUAAAACAUCACAUCUGGAAUAUAUUACGAACCUAGUGCAAGCUUUCGGUCGACGGGUAGGUAAAUGUUCGUCGGCGGGUUCAUGAAUAACAAUAUCAGCAUGAGUGCAUAUAUGAACACUUUGUGUCGAAAAAACCGUUUUAUCAAGAAACGAGUAUUAUUUAUCGUAAAAAAACAGCCGAGUAUGAAAAUUAAAGAACAUAACUUUAUCUAGAGAAGGACGUGCUAACGAUUCAAUCAAUACAUUUGAUCAAAGAUUUUUUUAACAAUUGUAAAAAAUGGAAACUUUUUUUUAAUUCGUUAAAAUUAUCAAUGCGUAACACCUAUUGGUCGUGUGCAGUGGCUUAUUUAGAAUUUUUUUUUAAGGACCGAUGCGAAAAAUUUCAUCCACAGACACCCACCUCACUUUUGAUAAAAUAUAUUUAUUUUUUAAAUUGGCAAAAUAGCUAAUAAUUUAAACAUUAUAGUUUUAAGAUAAAAUAUGAACAUAUUUUUACCACGCCGAACACACAUUUUACAUAUCAUCAUCAUUGUAGAACCAUAAAAUAUUUUUUUUCCAAUUUAUUUUUUUUAAUUUUGAAUUAAUCCAUUAAUUAAUACUUGUACAUUAUUACAUUGUAAUCAAAUAAUAUAUAAGAUAGAUACGAUAAACAAAUUAGUUGUUGUUGAUUUUGAUUUUUAU